UGGUCCCACCUGACCCCAUGCCGAACUCAGAAGUGAAACGCCGUAGCGCCGAUGGUAGUGUGGGGUCUCCCCAUGCGAGAGUAGGGAACUGCCAGGUA
RNAcentral lists this ribosomal RNA (98 nucleotides) under Escherichia coli. Lineage: Bacteria; Pseudomonadati; Pseudomonadota; Gammaproteobacteria; Enterobacterales; Enterobacteriaceae. The record is from RNAcentral.